UGUCAAUCAAAGCAUGACAUGAUGAGAU
This 28-nucleotide small RNA is filed under the name Bombyx mori (domestic silkworm). Its description in RNAcentral is "ovarian small RNA-35575". Lineage: Eukaryota; Metazoa; Arthropoda; Insecta; Lepidoptera; Bombycidae. The record is from RNAcentral.